AAACUAACAAGGAUUCCCCCAGUAACGGCGAGUGAAGAGGGAAAAGCCCAAAUUUGUAAUCUGGCUCUUUCAUGAGGGUCCGAGUUGUAAUUUUGAGAACUGUUUUCUGUGCUGGACCAUUUCUAAGUUUGUUGGAAAACAGCAUCAUAGAGGGUGAUAAUCCCGUUUGUGAUAUGGACUACCAGGGCUAUAUGAUACAGUUUUUAAGAGUCGAGUUGUUUGGGAAUGCAGCUCAAAGUGGGUGGUAAAUUCCAUCUAAGGCUAAAUAUAGGUGAGAGACCGAUAGCAUACAAGUACCGUGAGGGAAAGAUGAAAAGAACUUUGGAAAGAGAGUUAACAGUACGUGAAAUUGUUGUAAAGGAAACAUUUAAACUUGUCGUUGUGCUUGUCAGUUCAGCCCUCUUAUCAGGGUGUAUUCUGGCAAAUCACGGACCAACAUCAGUUUUUGAGUGCUGGAUAAGGGUCCUGGGAAUGUAGCAGUUUUGGCUGUGUUAUAGCCUGGGAUUUAGAUACAGUGCUUAGGACUGAGAACAAUUUGCAGCAAGCCCUUUAUUGUGGCAGCCUAUCAUGGGCACCCAUGCUGAGGAUGUUGGUGAGAUAGAUUUAAAUGAC
This 612-nucleotide ribosomal RNA is filed under the name Phragmidium fusiforme. RNAcentral describes it as "eukaryotic LSU rRNA". It matches the Rfam family "Eukaryotic large subunit ribosomal RNA", at positions 62 to 648 of the family's 3401-position model. Lineage: Eukaryota; Fungi; Basidiomycota; Pucciniomycetes; Pucciniales; Phragmidiaceae. The record is from RNAcentral.